UCCUCUCUCCUCUUUGGCAUUUCUGCUCAUUUUUACAACUGCACCUGUCUUUCCAGGCAAAUGGGAAAGGGAGGUGGAGUAUACUGUGUAGAUGCUGGACGAAUGCAUGUAAACUGGUUAGGUAUAUUCAUGUGAAUAAAGGUGCAUCUAUAUUUAAAUACUUUGUAAUGUAAGUAAAUUUUAAAUUAUUGAGCCCAGCUAAUUUGAGGCACCAGUGAACUAACCUCUUCAGUGCUGGCAGUUCAUCUUAAUAGGAUGAAAACUACUCUAAAAUGAUCAUAACUGGAGCAGCCGUUUUUCUUAUAUAGGUCCGGACUGAGGAAGGAUGUAAUUCAAUGGAGAAAAUUAAUAUGAACGUUUGAUUUUAAUCACAGUGCAUUUUUUAAAUUAGCAGAUGUGAUAUGUCAGAGAGUGGAGUACAAAUCUUGGUGGGAACCGGGAAUGGAGAGCCAAAGAGGUAUGCGGGCAAGAAUUCCUUAGGUAGUAUACGUGCUUACGCAAAUAGUGUGAUAAUGUGAAUCUUACCUGUGCCUAAACUGAAGCUAGGAUGCCUAAUCUUUAUCAGGUUGUCUCUGUAGCAUUUAUGUUGGUGUGAGAUUCUGCUUUAAUGACAAAGAGGGUGACGUGGGAUAUAAAGUAGUUAGGUUGAGAAGAAGCAGAGAUUAGCUCUUGGGUAUAAUUCUGAUUUUUAAAAGGACUGCUAGAGUUUUCAAAGGUUAGGUAUGUUUUAGGUAGUUUGAGUUGGGACAGAAAUGAGAAUAUUGAUAGUAAAGCAGUCUUGUUUUAAUCAUUAGCUCAGAUAUACUCCUGGUUAUUUAGUUAUUGAGAGUGCUGUCAGAAAAAUGAUUUUGAUACCAAAGGGUGUGGUUUGUGUAAGAUGGUCUGUGUCUUCAAAUUAUUGGAAUGUAGCUUGUGAAGGGUUGAUGCAUAAUGCGAUACGAUGGUGUGAGGUCGCUAGUGCAGGUGGAUGUUGAACUUUGCGUUCUAGGAUUACUUUUGUUUGCUAUCUUUGUUAAGGUGGUGGAGAGAAACCUCUGAAAUGCUGUUGUUUCCUUAUGCUCUUAAAGUACUGGUUUCAUUUCUCAUUGUGUGUGGGCUAAAAAAAGACAGGAAAAAUCAGUAGCAACCUACUAAGUGUGGUCUUACUGAGCUAGAUAGUGCAGUUGUCCUCUUUAAAGCAUUAAGUUUACAUUUUGAACACAGUUAUGAGCCAACACCCGCUUUGGAACUCUGAUUUCAUCGUGCCUAAGUACUUAAUUUAACCGUAGCUUUUGCUCCCGGUCAGGACACGGACAUUUCCUUUGGGAGUAACGUGAAAGCCGGACUGCGAUGGCUGCUAGAAAUUGUGCAUGCUGUGAGAAGUGUUCCCUGCAGCGAUGAGUUUAUAUGCUGUAAACCUUCUCUGUCUCUGAAGAUCUGGGUUGCAGAGGCGAAGAGUUUAGCAGAAAGCAUUAUGGAUCUGUGGAGCUUUGAUGCGGAUGGAGCCAUUCAAAGAGCUUGAUGGAAAAAAAGGGUGGAAAAUGGCUCCUCUGGUGAGAACUUUUUCAUCUGUAAAUACCAUCUUACUAUUGGAAGAAAGAAGACCUCAUCUCCUAGAAAUAUUUGUAAGAUCUUGGUAAAGUGCAUAUUGACCUAAUAAUCAGCAAACUUUACUGAUCAUC
Molecule: long non-coding RNA, 1661 nt
Organism: Hirundo rustica (Barn swallow)
Lineage: Eukaryota; Metazoa; Chordata; Aves; Passeriformes; Hirundinidae
Exons: 4
Source: RefSeq, a predicted model, not a curated record